UGUUCUUUUACAUUUCUCUUUGGGAGCUUCUUUCUACCCUCAGCCAAAAUUUUCCCUCGUUUUCUAAAUUCAGUUUCGCUUCUUUUAGAUUCAUCAAACCCAUUCCCCCAAAUUUGACUUCGUAUUUGCCCCCAAAUUUUAAAAAACCUAUCACAAUAUCUCCUAAAUUACAUUUUCGCGUUCCCUCUACAACCACAUUUUCCCUCUUCACAAUUCUAAUUUUUCUUCCCUGCAUCGCAAUCUCGAAUCUCUCCAGAAGCUUCUUCUCACCAAAGCCAUCUUCAUCGACGAAGAGACGUUCUCCAAAGCCUUCCUUACCGCUGACCAAGCCCGCUCCAUCAAACUGCUCCAGCAACGAGUUGAGACAUUGGAGAGAGAGGUUGACUCUGCUAUCACCGUUGCCGCUCGCCUUCGCUCUGAGAAACGACAAGCUGAGGCCGCUCAGAAAGUCGCCGACUUGCACGCAUUGGAGAGCUGGAAAGCGUGAAAAAAUGAAAGCGCGAUGGUGAGACCCACUCACAUGGCUUUGGCAUUUUCAUAUUAUAAAGCACUCGCUCACUCCAUAUACAGACAUCAUCACAGUGACCAUAAACGACACUGUUUCGAUCCAAGAUGUCAGUCACGUCACGCCAAGAUAUUCUCUUGUUCCACCAUGCCAAACCCUAGGCUCCACCAAGCAAUGCGGGAUUUAUCGGGAGAGGGUUAGCGUAAAGGUGCCAAACGAAGAAAAUGCUUGUUUUCGUUUUCGUCGUUGUUGUCACCUUCAUCUCCCUCUAGGAGUUUUGCUAGUGCCACGACCACGUUUACACGUUCACCAUACACCACCGCCACUCCGAACCCGUCAAAAAGUGGUCCCACGCCGCUACCAGAAUCCCCCUCCUCCCGAUAAGGGCACCGUCGAGUACUACACUGAGUUGGCCGUCCACGAUCGCUUCCUCCGUGGCCGCAAACUCUCUCAAAUCGACGCCAGUCUCGCUUUCUCCGAUGGCAACUCCACCUUCCGCAUCAGCUCCCUCGGAUUGUACCUUUUCUUCUCUUUGAUUCUUCUAUUGUCAUUAUUUAAAGUUUUAUUUUUCAAGAUUUUAAUUUAAAUAUAAUCUCUUCCUACUCUUUUCUAACCAUAAAAUGAUAGGAAGAUUAAAUUUUGUUAAUAAUUAUGUUGAAACCGUUUUUAAUUGUUGAUAAUGUGAAAAUUAGUGUAUGAAGAGUUGAAAAUUAGAUUCUUCUUUUAAUUUAAAUUGAUUAAUAAUUUCUUUAUAAUAAUUUAGUUAUCAGUUUAAUGAAGUGACAAUGACUUGAGGUUUGAAUUUUGAAUGAGAUUGGCCAUGUUUAGAAAGAAGAAAUUACUAUUUAGAUGUGAAUAAUGUUUGAGUUUGACCAUUCUUUGUUAAUGAUUUCGGUGAUGUUACGAAUUUGUCAGUAAUGUUUUUUCUUGGAGAUUGGUUUCAUGUUUUCUUUAACCUUUUCUUUUUCUUCUGGAGAUUCAUACGAUAGUUGAAAUAGGACAUCAGGAGUGAAGUUCAUGGUGGCGCUUGAUACCGGAAGUGACCUGUUCUGGGUACCCUGUGAUUGCACAAGAUGUGUUGCUACUGAUAGCCCAACCUUUGCUUCGGAUCAAAAUCAAUGAUAAUGAUUGUGGAUAUUAUGUGUGUCAAUGUAUAAAAUAAAUUAUUACAUACUGUGAAGGAGGAAUAAUUCCAACUGAUUAUUUUCAUAAUUGCAUAUAUCAACCAUAUCGUGACAACAAAUUAUUGAAGUUAGGGAAGGUUAAUGUUUACAUGUAAUCAGUACAUGCUUAUAGGUUGUUAUGGUGAUGUAAAUGUUUAUAGGUACAAGGAUAUAUAUGUUAUGAUUGUAUAUAUUGUCUUAUAAAGCAAUGUCAUGUCAUGACACUUAGUUGACACUCAAAGAUUAUAUUUUGAAAUAUUAUUAUAUCAAUAGUUUUUAUUUA
Long non-coding RNA from Vigna angularis (adzuki bean), 1951 nucleotides. RefSeq lists it as uncharacterized. The record is from RefSeq and is a predicted model, not a curated record. The transcript is spliced from 3 exons. Lineage: Eukaryota; Viridiplantae; Streptophyta; Magnoliopsida; Fabales; Fabaceae.